RNAcentral lists this ribosomal RNA (842 nucleotides) under Luteochaete subglobosa. RNAcentral describes it as "LSU rRNA". It matches the Rfam family "Eukaryotic large subunit ribosomal RNA", at positions 71 to 922 of the family's 3401-position model. The record is from RNAcentral. Lineage: Eukaryota; Fungi; Basidiomycota; Agaricomycetes; Polyporales; Meruliaceae.
AGGAUUCCCCUAGUAACUGCGAGUGAAGCGGGAAAAGCUCAAAUUUAAAAUCUGGCGGCUUUGGUCGUCCGAGUUGUAUUCUAGAGAAGUGUUUUCCGCGUUGGACCGUGUAUAAGUCUCUUGGAACAGAGCGUCAUAGAGGGUGAGAAUCCCGUCUUUGACACGGACUACCAAUGCUUUGUGAUACACUCUCAAAGAGUCGAGUUGUUUGGGAAUGCAGCUCAAAAUGGGUGGUAAAUUCCAUCUAAAGCUAAAUAUUGGCGAGAGACCGAUAGCGAACAAGUACCGUGAGGGAAAGAUGAAAAGCACUUUGGAAAGAGAGUUAAACAGUACGUGAAAUUGCUGAAAGGGAAACGCUUGAAGUCAGUCGCGUUAUCUAGAACUCAACCAGGCUUGCUUGGCGUAUUUUCUAGUUAACGGGCCAGCAUCAGUUUUGACUGCAGGAAAAAGGCCAGGGAAAUGUGGCACCUUCGGGUGUGUUAUAGUCUCUGGUCAUAUACUGUGAUUGGGACUGAGGACCGCAGCACGCGCAAGUUGUGCUUAGGAUGCUGGCGUAAUGGCUUUAAACGACCCGUCUUGAAACACGGACCAAGGAGUCUAACAAACCUGCGAGUAUUUGGGUGGUAAACCCGAGUGCGUAAUGAAAGUGAAAGUUGGGAUCCCUGUCGUGGGGAGCACCGACGCCCGGACCAGACCUUCUGUGACGGAUCUGCGGUAGAGCAUGUUUGUUGGGACCCGAAAGAUGGUGAACUAUGCCUGAAUAGGGUGAAGCCAGAGGAAACUCUGGUGGAGGCUCGUAGCGAUUCUGACGUGCAAAUCGAUCGUCAAAUUUGGGUAUAGGG